AAUACUUGUCGGCAAAACCGUCGUGAGGCGGUGACGCAAAGCCAAGGAACUUUAUUACAAACUACGCGUCGUCCUGCGAAGACCGCGGGCGAGUUUGGGUUUGGUAAAAAGAGUACGCCCGGUUGCAAUA
RNAcentral lists this non-coding RNA (130 nucleotides) under Acidiphilium sp. RNAcentral describes it as "c-di-GMP sequence". It matches the Rfam family "c-di-GMP-I riboswitch aptamer". Rfam says of the family: GEMM was predicted in a large-scale screen for bacterial structured RNA regulatory elements. Genes associated with GEMM are involved in a diverse array of functions, including chemotaxis regulation, signal transduction, secretion and chitin. Lineage: Bacteria; Pseudomonadati; Pseudomonadota; Alphaproteobacteria; Acetobacterales; Acidocellaceae. The record is from RNAcentral.